UUAAUGUUAUCACUCUAUUCAAAGGGUUGAAAGAGUAUUGUUUGAAGUUGUGUGGAAUUGAAUAAUUAUAGUUGUGAUAUUUCAUUCAAAAGUUGGAUGAAAAUAGAAAGAAAAAAAAUGACAAUACAUAUUCCUUCUGGAAAAAAAAUUAAAUGAGAAAAGAAAAAGAAAUGAAUGAAGUUUUAGAUAGUCAACUCCCACAGUUUCUUUCAAUUUUCUUUUGAC
This 225-nucleotide long non-coding RNA is filed under the name Lathyrus oleraceus (garden pea). RNAcentral's name for it is "Pisum sativum (pea) long non-coding RNA (PSAT_LNC041987)". The record is from RNAcentral. Lineage: Eukaryota; Viridiplantae; Streptophyta; Magnoliopsida; Fabales; Fabaceae.